Molecule: non-coding RNA, 118 nt
Organism: Nematostella vectensis (starlet sea anemone)
Lineage: Eukaryota; Metazoa; Cnidaria; Anthozoa; Actiniaria; Edwardsiidae
Source: Rfam
GUCAGGAUGGCCGAGCGGUCUAAGGCGCCAGACUCAAGGUCUCAAUUCCUUCUCAUGAUGCAUGGUAGAGUGUUCUGGUCUCCGAUUGGAGGCGUGGGUUCGAAUCCCACUUCUGACA